GUUAAAGUGCAACAAAAAAUAUAUUUGACUAGCUGGUUCUCAAUAUGAAUCGUGCUUUUAGCAGGAAGAAAGACAAAACAUGGAUGCAUACUCCAGAGGCUUUAUCAAAACACUAUAUCCCUUAUAAUGCAAAGGAAAUCCAGAACUACUUCGUGAAAUCUGCAGUAUCAGAUUAGUUUGUCAAAACAUUACCUUGAAUGCUUUAAUGUUCCUACUGACACUAAUGUGAUGUUUGCAUGCUUAAAUAGCUAAGUCGUUAUCAAUUUGUAUUAUAAUAUUUGUUGUACACCGUUCAUCAUUAUCAUCAUCUGAAAUUAUCAAACAAGGCAUCAGUACUGACAAUGGAAAUUUCAGGCAUAAUCUGCUACUUGUCUGGUGUUUUUCUUAAAGUUUCAAACGGAAUUUGAAACCAAAGGAUAUAUUACCCUCUCAAUCUUGAUGGAAGUAAUGGAUUUUAUAUUGUAAUGUUUAUAGCAGAGGGCAGCAAAGAAUAGGUGAGAUGUAGUAAUAUCCAUAAAAACAACAACCUAGCAUCAGGCAUUGAUAGCAAGAAUCAUGUCCAGUGGAAGGCUGUCUUCAGGUUUAUUGUAAAUGUCAACCAUUCCAAGGAAAGAAAUGAUUGUUUUUAAACAUAUUCUUUUAAUAUUAUUUUAUUUUAUAGCAAACCACGUGGCUGAGUUCCUCUGUAAUAUCUCUGCAUUUAACAUGGGUUCCUACCUUUAACAUGGAUUCCUAAUAAUGUAAUGUGGGAUCUCCCUAUUAGUUAGGCAUUGGCAGACUAUGCUGAGUACUCAUCAAGAUCUCUCAGUAUGCUACAUUUGUGCUGAGAGAACUUUACUGAGUUCAGCUGAAGUGGCAACUUGAUAUAAAAGUAUUUGGCUGACAUACAAUAGUUUUCCAGAAGUACCGCCGUGUUCAUUAAAUAGACACUUCCAGGGCUAAUAAAAAUGGCCCUGCAAAGACCUGAUGUUUCUCA
RNAcentral lists this long non-coding RNA (976 nucleotides) under Crocodylus porosus (Australian saltwater crocodile). RNAcentral describes it as "lncRNA (ENSCPRG00005012202.1)". Lineage: Eukaryota; Metazoa; Chordata; Crocodylia; Crocodylidae. The record is from RNAcentral.